UAGGGAAUCUUGCACUAAUGCGCGCAAGCGUGAUGCAGCGACGCCGUGUGCGGGAAGAAGGCCUUCGGGUUGUAAACCGCUUUCAGGAGGGACGAAGCUACUCGGGUUAAUAGCCCAGAGGGUGACGGUACCUCCAGAAGAAGCCCCGGCUAACUACGUGCCAGCAGCCGCGGUAAUACGUAGGGGGCAAGCGUUGUCCGAAUUUAUUGGGCGUAAAGCGCGUGUAGGCGGCUGGGUAGGUCCGCUGUGAAAACUCGAGGCUCAACCUCGAGACGUCGGCGGAAACCAUCCAGCUAGAGUCCGGAAGAGGAGAGUGGAAUUCCUGGUGUAGCGGUGAAAUGCGCAGAUAUCAGGAAGAACACCCGUGGCGAAAGCGGCUCUCUGGGACGGUACUGACGCUGAGACGCGAAAGCGUGGGGAGCGAACAG
This 428-nucleotide ribosomal RNA is filed under the name uncultured bacterium. Its description in RNAcentral is "bacterial SSU rRNA". It matches the Rfam family "Bacterial small subunit ribosomal RNA", at positions 355 to 775 of the family's 1533-position model. The record is from RNAcentral.